UAGGGAAUCUUCCACAAUGGGCGCAAGCCUGAUGGAGCAAUGCCGCGUGCAGGACGAAGGCCUUCGGGUCGUAAACUGCUUUUAUGAUCGAAGAUUAUGACGGUAGGUCAUGAAUAAGCUUCGGCUAACUCCGUGCCAGCAGCCGCGGUCAUACGGAGGAAGCAAGCGUUAUCCGGAAUGACUGGGCGUAAAGAGAUGCGUAGGCGGCUCGCCAAGUUUUUAUUGAAAUCUAGAGGCUCAACCUCUAGACCGGUAAAAAAACUGACGAGCUAGAGGACGGAAGAGGUAGCUGGAAUUCCCGGUGUAGGAGUGAAAUCCGUAGAUAUCGGGAGGAACACCAAUGGCGAAGGCAGGCUACUGGUCCGUUUCUGACGCUAAGGCUCGAAAGCGUGGGGAGCGAACGGG
Molecule: ribosomal RNA, 405 nt
Filed under: uncultured bacterium
Lineage: Bacteria
Description: bacterial SSU rRNA
Rfam family: Bacterial small subunit ribosomal RNA
Source: RNAcentral